AUAGCCAUGGUAUGAAUGCUUUUAAAGGUUAGAUAUUUUUGAUAAGCUUUUGAGAACCGGAUAACACGGAUGAAGACUGAACAGGCUGGUGGCAGGUACAACACACUAGUGACCGGCAUUCCUCAGUCAGAACCCGAUCAGCAUCCAGUGAGAACAGGGCGAGCUCAGGAAGGUGGGCUGUGCACACUGACGAUAGAAGGAACCUCAUGCAGGCAAGGAGACGUAGUCUCUGGCGGAGACUGACAAAGAGAGACGGAUAUUAAUUAAAGCUUGGAACAAUGAGGGUGAUCCAUCUGCUUUAAUUAGCAUAGUCAAGCAGAACAUAUAAUGGCAAGCUACCAGACAGCUCCAAAAACAACCAAACAGAGGCAGGCAUCGUUACAUAAGAAGCUUCAUUAUAUUAAAAACGAUGAUGCAUAUAUUUCUUAGUGUGUGUCUGUUCCUAACAUCUAUUACUACAAAGUCAAAGUACAGUUGGGGAAGAGUCUAACAUCACACUUAAUGUUAUUAAGUCAUUUACACCAGUUUUAUGAAUUUAGUUUAGCAUUACAUAACCUUUACUGUCAAGUAAAAUACCUCUACUGAUAAAAUAACCCAUGAAAAUAAGUUGACUUCCUAAGCUAACUCUGCAUUUCUGCUUUUUUACUUCAGCCUUCAACCAUUACAUCAUAUCCUGCAUCAACAGAUGGUGAAGCUGAUGCAGGACGUGACGAGAAUUCAGCAGAGACAUGCUACACGUCUCCAGCCGAUUUUGAAAUUUCCAAUGGCGAAGAACAUAACGACAGUAAAGAAGGAAAUAUGACUGAGAAUUGCAUCUAAUCAUUACCGGCUGGCGAUGCAUGUUUUUGGUCUGCUCACAACUGCAAAGUCACUGAAGGAACUUGAUGAGAUGGUGCAGAGUGCAGCUGUGGUGUUUUCCAGUCCCUUCAGUGGUGAAAAUGUAGACGCAUUUUCAAAAACUCCAAUCAAUGCUCCUGCAAAUUGGACAGCUCCCCGAAGACCGUAUUCAGCAUGACCCUGCAGCUGAGGACCUGAAGGAAAUCGACGGUAAAAACAACGCCAAACAUUACAAAGAAGUCGUUGACAGUGC
Long non-coding RNA from Fundulus heteroclitus (mummichog), 1090 nucleotides. RefSeq lists it as uncharacterized. The transcript is spliced from 4 exons. The record is from RefSeq and is a predicted model, not a curated record. NCBI's taxonomy places the organism in Eukaryota, Metazoa, Chordata, Actinopteri, Cyprinodontiformes, Fundulidae.